RNAcentral lists this long non-coding RNA (4072 nucleotides) under Cinara cedri. The record is from RNAcentral. Lineage: Eukaryota; Metazoa; Arthropoda; Insecta; Hemiptera; Aphididae.
AUAAAACUGCUUUUUUUUUUUUUAAAAAAAGAAUACGAUUAACAUAAAAUAUAAAAUUAAUAAUAUUGUGCACGGUUGUGCAUGUUCCCGUCAUGUAAUAUGCAAUUUACAUAAUUGUAUUAUAUUAUACUUUCGUUUUGCGAAUGUAAUAAAAGUAAUACCAUUGAUUAUAUUAUACUAUACUAUAGUUAAUACGACAAUAAUAUAAAUCACCUAAAUUAGAUAGUUGAAUAUCAGUUUAGCAGUGGUUAAAGUGAGAAAAAGGAGACUUCGUAUUUAUCAAAAAUUGAGGGGCGUUCACAGGGUUUAAAGUGGUACAAAAUAACAAAGGGUACUGUGAUCUAUAUUUUUUUUUUCUGAACAUUCCAUACAGUGUUAUCCCGAAUGUUCAGGAAAUCAUGGAAACAAGGAAAAUAUUUAUUAAUUUUUAAAACCAAACCAUUUUUCUCGUUUCGCUCGAAAACUGAUAAUAUUUUCUUAACAAAAAAAAUAUGUGAAUAUAAUAGUAACAUUAAUAAUUAAUGUAAUAAAAUUAUUUUAUUUUAUUUGUAUAAUUAUACAUAAUAAUUUUUUUAAUGUGUUUACAAGAAAAUUAAUAAAGACAUGUCAGAAAAAUAAAUAAUAAUAACUUUAACAUUUUCUUGACAACUUAAUUGUAUAUAAAUAUAUAAUAUUUUUUAACGCUCACAUAUACAUUAACGAAAAAAGCUGAUACUGCUGAUGGGCAUGACACUGUUGUAGGUGGGAAGUUGGGAUGAUGGAGGAAAAAUUUAAUGUACAGCUGUACGUAACAAUUAAUCGUUGCUAACGAAAAACAAUUCUGAGCGGAGUUGGGUCAUAUGCAUGUUUUAAAAGGUUGUAUAGCAUUUACGAUUUGAAAAUAAUAGGUUUAUUUUUAGUUCAGUUUCCCGUUUUUUCUACGUUUUUUCCCGGUUAUUCCAAAUUAUUAUGAAAACUGCUUGGAAAAUCAAAAAAUGAAAUCUCUAAAGUACCAACCCAGUCAAAUUUUCUUUCAGUAAGUAGCUACCCUUGAAAAUCAGAACAAAAUUUCUGGUAGAAAAGUCGUUCAAAUAAAAAAACAAUAUUGUAUAACCAAUACAAUUCUAGUUCCGUUAAAAAUCUAAAAAAACCAAUAUAAUUACGUUUCUUUUUAACCUCUAAAAGUACAACUUACAAUGCAGUUCUUGUUAAAAUUUCAAGCAUUUUAGUUCGAUCAAACAAUUAUAUUCACAUAUAGUAUCUAUUAUCUAUCAAAUAAAAACUACGUGAAAAAUUCGAAAAAUUAAAAUACCCAUAAAUAGUUCAAUACACGUCAAAAUGUUUGAAAAUUUUUGACGCCUAGAUAAGAUAAUUGUAAGUUUUCUGUCAACAUUUCAAGUAUUUACGAAUAUUUUUACUGAAUUAUACAACAAAAGCUAUAACCAAAAUGUAACGAAAAAUUUCACUUGUCAUUUUUCGAUUGGAAUAAAUUGUCUAUUCGAAAAGUUCUUUACAAACAGAACAAAAACACAUCACAGAAUAACCUGCAAUAGAUUCGUCGUUCCACUCCUAAUCUAAAAUAAAACUGAAUAACAAAAUAUCUCUAAUCUCUAUAGGAAUCAUAUACGUCAUAUAUGUUUCUUGGGAUUAUGAUGUACCCACAUCAUGUUCGUUAGGAAUUUAAUUACACAUGGGCGUUAAGAUAAUAUCUAAGUGCGUUAUGUAAAUUCACAAAAUAACUUAUAUGUUAUAUAUCUGUGGUCUACACUGUACAGUGUUCAUCGUAGAAUAUAUAAAUAUUUAUUUGUUUCAUACAAACUAUACAUUAUUGCAAUAAUGUAGUAUAAUAAACAUAAGUGAAUAACAGUGAUAGUUCAAAAGUCCACCCAUCGACGACACUCCGACAAACCAUUGAAUACGGAUAAAAAUUUCAAUCACGAAAAUAAUAUUUUUUAUAAAAGAUCAAACUGGAAAAUAUUAUAUUUAAAAAAUAAUUGUUGAUAAAUCUAAAAUCAUUAUAUUUAAAAAAAAAAAUUAUUUUGAACGGUGGAUACCUUUACCUACGCAGCGUACCCAACUAGUGUACCUACCUUCGAAGAAUUUGUUAAAGAAGACUCUUUUUAAGCGCAGCCAGAGGUAGGGGGACUGAGGGCUGUUGCGUCCCCUUCCCAAUUUAAUCACUGGGCGUUCCCGAGUAUCAACUAAAUCUAACCAAGCUCUCUGAUAAUACAUCAAAACUUCCAAAAUAUUUUUCCCACACAGAUUAAAAAAAAAUAUGUUGCACUAAUACGGGUUUAUACGUAUAAAUUAUUCUACGUUUUAACAAAUUGUUUUAUGUUCCGGUUAUUUUACCAAUAAAUAAUUUAUAUAGCUCAGCAUCAUAUUUUCCUCGAGUUCUAAUGCUACUAAAUAAAUUAGCACCUUGUGUUGAUUUAUUUUCAGAUAUGUCUCGUGAAGUUUUUAUGUUUAAUGUACUUAUAUAACGCGUUAACUAAUUGUUCACUGUAAUUUCAUUUUUGUUCUAUUUAUUUAUGUUUAUUCCAUUAUUAUUAUUAUUUCAUUAAUUGUAUUUUAAAUUACUUUUGCCAUUUAUGAUGUUAUUUUUCUUUUGUUAAAGGGUUUUUUCAUCCGUUUAUAAUUUAUGAAAUUAAAUUUAAAAAUAAUAAAAGGUCUUGAGUGAAAUAUUAUUUAAAAAGUAUCAAUAAAAUAGUAUAAAACCUAUCUACCAAGGGCGUCCGCAGGGGGGUGCCGGUGGGGGCCAUAUCCUCCUCGCUAUUUGAGUUAAUAUUAAAUAUUAACUGUUUUAUUACUUGUACGGCUUAAAUAUUUAAUAAGCCGUGAUUACUUGUAAGUUGCAAAAAAAAAGUCUUAUACUUUUAAUUUUGCCAACCCCCCCCCCCAGUUUAUAUUUCUGUGGGCGUCCUUGCUACCUACGUUUAAAAUAACUAAAAAAGAGCUGAUAUUGUCGACGGGUUUAUCGCUGUUGUAAGUGGAAAGUUGAAAAUGUAGACAAUGGCACAAUUAGGGCGAGGGGGGUUAAAAUGAACGGUUAAUGAAAGGAACAAUUUGUGAAGGAAAAAAAAUAUUAGAACAAGAGCCAAUAACGCAUGGGUAAAAGUCAUGCAAAUAAUAUGGAAAUCGAUUAUCGAUAGUAAGACAUAAAAGUCUAUAAUCGUGGUAUAAUUCCGGCACCUACCUAUCGUGUUUGCUAUGCGCAAACUCAAUACUUUGCGGAAUUUCAGUAAAAUUAAUAUUGUGCGCGGUACAAUAUUUCACACGAUAAGACCUAUAAUGCGUAACAAAAAACAUAUUAUUUCAACGUUACGUUAUACCUUUAACUGAUUACAAUAAAUUGAGAAAUAAAAUUGAAGGAAAAAAAAAUAAUAAAAUAGAAAAACGAAAAUACAUCUUAUACUAGCAUCGUACCGAUCGUAACAAAAUAAAAUAAAUUACAAACAAAAUACGGUAGGAAGAUAUUAUUCACCAUUUUCGGAACAGUUCUACUAUGUAUCGGUAAUAUAAUAUCUGUCCAAAAGUAAUCUACAAAAACGAUAAGACGCGGAUAAAGUUAAUAGUUGGGGAAUAGUAUCCAUUGCAUGUACUAAAUUUUAUUUUUAUUUUUUCUGUAAAUUGCUGGUAUAGUGGUCUAAUGAUACGGUUUCCUAUUCGCGACAAAUGGUUCGUCGUUGCGUCCGGCGACAGUACCGGUCCGAGGGCAGUAUAUCGCGACAAUACAAAAUUAUAUCGGGUGCGACACAAUUUUCAUCGACAGAGGAAGUAUUCCUCCUUAUUGAACGAAUUAGAAAAAAUAUACCUAUUUGUGCUCUUGCUCAUUACAAAAUGUAAAGACAACAUUCAUCAGGCUUCUAUUUUGCAAUCCAGAAAUAAGCUUUGUAUUUUUGUCUUUUUUUAUCAUUUGAAAUUAAUAAUUCAUCUUCGUCCUCCUGUUCCUCAAGUAAAAGUAAAAUAACUGUAUUUGUAACACUCAUGUUUAAAUUUCAACUUAAAAGCUUAAACACAAAAAUACAAACACCGUCACGGUACAAACAGAUCACAGAUACUGCAGUGUGCAGAAUACGGCUACAGUUUAUCA